AUGUAUACUUGGUGUAGCUGGAAUCAACCCUGGCUGUGCCGUAGCUAACGCGAUAAGUAUACCGCCUGGGGAGUACGCUCGCAAGGGUGAAACUCAAAAGAAUUGACGGGGACCCGCACAAGCAGUGGAGCAUGUGGUUUAAUUCGAUGCAACGCGAAGAACCUUACCCAGACUUGACAUACAGUGGAAUAUGGUAGAAAUAUCAUAGCCCUUCGGGGCCGCUGAACAGGUGCUGCAUGGCUGUCGUCAG
RNAcentral lists this ribosomal RNA (250 nucleotides) under uncultured bacterium. RNAcentral describes it as "partial 16S ribosomal RNA". It matches the Rfam family "Bacterial small subunit ribosomal RNA", at positions 809 to 1058 of the family's 1533-position model. The record is from RNAcentral.